GAUGAACGCUGGCGGCGUGCCUAAUACAUGCAAGUCGAGCGAACGGACGAGAAGCUUGCUUCUCUGAUGUUAGCGGCGGACGGGUGAGUAACACGUGGAUAACCUACCUAUAAGACUGGGAUAACUUCGGGAAACCGGAGCUAAUACCGGAUAAUAUUUUGAACCGCAUGGUUCAAAAGUGAAAGACGGUCUUGCUGUCACUUAUAGAUGGAUCCGCGCUGCAUUAGCUAGUUGGUAAGGUAACGGCUUACCAAGGCAACGAUGCAUAGCCGACCUGAGAGGGUGAUCGGCCACACUGGAACUGAGACACGGUCCAGACUCCUACGGGAGGCAGCAGUAGGGAAUCUUCCGCAAUGGGCGAAAGCCUGACGGAGCAACGCCGCGUGAGUGAUGAAGGUCUUCGGAUCGUAAAACUCUGUUAUUAGGGAAGAACAUAUGUGUAAGUAACUGUGCACAUCUUGACGGUACCUAAUCAGAAAGCCACGGCUAACUACGUGCCAGCAGCCGCGGUAAUACGUAGGUGGCAAGCGUUAUCCGGAAUUAUUGGGCGUAAAGCGCGCGUAGGCGGUUUUUUAAGUCUGAUGUGAAAGCCCACGGCUCAACCGUGGAGGGUCAUUGGAAACUGGAAAACUUGAGUGCAGAAGAGGAAAGUGGAAUUCCAUGUGUAGCGGUGAAAUGCGCAGAGAUAUGGAGGAACACCAGUGGCGAAGGCGACUUUCUGGUCUGUAACUGACGCUGAUGUGCGAAAGCGUGGGGAUCAAACAGGAUUAGAUACCCUGGUAGUCCACGCCGUAAACGAUGAGUGCUAAGUGUUAGGGGGUUUCCUCCCCUUAGUGCUGCAGCUAACGCAUUAAGCACUCCGCCUGGGGAGUACGACCGCAAGGUUGAAACUCAAAGGAAUUGACGGGGACCCGCACAAGCGGUGGAGCAUGUGGUUUAAUUCGAAGCAACGCGAAGAACCUUACCAAAUCUUGACAUCCUUUGACAACUCUAGAGAUAGAGCCUUCCUCUUCGGGGGACAAAGUGACAGGUGGUGCAUGGUUGUCGUCAGCUCGUGUCGUGAGAUGUUGGGUUAAGUCCCGCAACGAGCGCAACCCUUAAGCUUAGUUGCCAUCAUUAAGUUGGGCACUCUAAGUUGACUGCCGGUGACAAACCGGAGGAAGGUGGGGAUGACGUCAAAUCAUCAUGCCCCUUAUGAUUUGGGCUACACACGUGCUACAAUGGACAAUACAAAGGGCAGCGAAACCGCGAGGUCAAGCAAAUCCCAUAAAGUUGUUCUCAGUUCGGAUUGUAGUCUGCAACUCGACUACAUGAAGCUGGAAUCGCUAGUAAUCGUAGAUCAGCAUGCUACGGUGAAUACGUUCCCGGGUCU
This 1372-nucleotide ribosomal RNA is filed under the name uncultured bacterium. RNAcentral describes it as "bacterial SSU rRNA". It matches the Rfam family "Bacterial small subunit ribosomal RNA", at positions 28 to 1381 of the family's 1533-position model. The record is from RNAcentral.